GACGAACGCUGGCGGCGUGCUUAACACAUGCAAGUCGAACGGUGAAGCGCCUUCCUUUUUGGUGGGUGUGGAUGAGUGGCGAACGGGUGAGUAACACGUGAGUAACCUGCCCCCUUCUUCUGGAUAACCGCAUGAAAGUGUGGCUAAUACGGGAUAUUCUGGGUCUGUCGCAUGAUGGGUCUGGGAAAGAUAUUGUUUCGGUGGGGGAUGGGCUCGCGGCCUAUCAGCUUGUUGGUGGGGUGAUGGCCUACCAAGGCGGUGACGGGUAGUCGGCCUGAGAGGGUGGACGGUCACACUGGGACUGAGACACGGCCCAGACUCCUACGGGAGGCAGCAGUGGGGAAUAUUGCACAAUGGGCGCAAGCCUGAUGCAGCGACGCCGCGUGAGGGAUGGAGGCCUUCGGGUUGUGAACCUCUUUCGCCAGUGAAGCAGGCCUGCCUCGUUUGUGGGUGGGUUGACGGUAGCUGGAGAAGAAGCGCCGGCUAACUACGUG
This 494-nucleotide ribosomal RNA is filed under the name uncultured bacterium. Its description in RNAcentral is "partial 16S ribosomal RNA". It matches the Rfam family "Bacterial small subunit ribosomal RNA", at positions 28 to 507 of the family's 1533-position model. The record is from RNAcentral.